GACGUAGGGCGCGAGCGUUGUCCGGAUUUAUUGGGCGUAAAGGGCUCGUAGGCGGCCAACUAAGUCAGACGUGAAAUCCCUCGGCUUAACCGGGGAACUGCGUCUGAUACUGGAUGGCUUGAGUUUGGGAGAGGGAUGCGGAAUUCCAGGUGUAGCGGUGAAAUGCGUAGAUAUCUGGAGGAACACCGGUGGCGAAGGCGGCAUCCUGGACCGACACUGACACUGAGGAGCGAAAGCCAGGGGAGCAAACGGG
This 253-nucleotide ribosomal RNA is filed under the name uncultured bacterium. RNAcentral's name for it is "partial 16S ribosomal RNA". It matches the Rfam family "Bacterial small subunit ribosomal RNA", at positions 524 to 776 of the family's 1533-position model. The record is from RNAcentral.